AACGAACGCUGGCGGCAUGCCUAACACAUGCCAGUCGAACGAGACCUUCGGGUCUAGUGGCGCACGGGUGCGUAACGCGUGGGAACCUGCCCUUAGGUUCGGAAUAACUCCCCGAAAGGGGUGCUAAUACCGGAUAAUGUCUUCGGACCAAAGAUUUAUCGCCUUUGGAUGGGCCCGCGUUGGAUUAGCUAGUUGGUAGGGUAAAAGCCUACCAAGGCGACGAUCCAUAGCUGGUCUGAGAGGAUGAUCAGCCACACUGGGACUGAGACACGGCCCAGACUCCUACGGGAGGCAGCAGUGGGGAAUAUUGGACAAUGGGCGAAAGCCUGAUCCAGCAAUGCCGCGUGAGUGAUGAAGGCCUUAGGGUUGUAAAGCUCUUUUACCCGGGAUGAUAAUAACAGUACCGGGAGAAUAAGCUCCGGCUAACUCCGUG
Molecule: ribosomal RNA, 433 nt
Filed under: uncultured bacterium
Lineage: Bacteria
Description: partial 16S ribosomal RNA
Rfam family: Bacterial small subunit ribosomal RNA
Source: RNAcentral